This 1061-nucleotide long non-coding RNA is filed under the name Ficedula albicollis (Collared flycatcher). RNAcentral's name for it is "lncRNA (ENSFALG00000028905.1)". Lineage: Eukaryota; Metazoa; Chordata; Aves; Passeriformes; Muscicapidae. The record is from RNAcentral.
CCCCCCCCCCCCCCCCCCCCCCCCCCCCCCCCCCCCCCCCCCCCCCCCCCCCCCCCCCCCCCCCCCCCCCCCCCCCCCCCCCCCCCCCCCCCCCCCCCCCCCCCCCCCCCCCCCCCCACCCCCCCGAGAUCCCCCUGCCCUCAGACUGUUUAGAUUUCUCUCCAGUUUUAAAGAAAAUAUUUCCAGUAAUCCAGAUUUCUGGAAAAUAACAACAUGCGGGGAGACGCAGACACAAACGCCGCUGAAGUUUAUCCAGAGUUUGAACAAUUUAUAAACACAUUUCCCAGCCUGUUUGGCAGGGCGGGCGGCGAGUGACCCCGGCCCGGCCGGGAGGAGACACACGCAUCCUCAAUCCUCCGGUUACUCCGCGCCACUUUGAGCUGUGAACCUGCACUUCAUUGAAUUUAAUUUUUUUUUUUUUGAGUUACGGAGCGCUCUUUGAGUUAGUGACCCCCUCCAGCCCCGCGCCCCCGCCCCCCCCCCCCCCCCCCCCCCCCCCCCCCCCCCCCCCCCCCCCCCCCCCCCCCCCCCCCCCCCCCCCCCCCCCCCCCCCCCCCCCCCCCCCCCCCCCCCCCCCCCCCCCCCCCCCCCCCCCCCCCCCCCCCCCCCCCCCCCCCCCCCCCCCCCCCCCCCCCCCCCCCCCCCCCCGAACCGGGGCUGGCCCCGAGGAUCGGGAUGGGAACGGGCGCGGGGAUGGAGGGGCGCGGUGAGGGAUCAUGCAAAUCCCUCUGUUUAAAAAACUUCCAUUUGAGAAAGUGUGUCACAUCCCGGCGCGGGCGCGUAAUCCCGGGCUAAUGGCAUUAUCGCCGCCUCAUCGCCGUCAUGGGAUGGGGCCGGGGGCGAGCACCCCCCCCCCGCCCGCAGCCACGCGUGACCGUGGCUCGGUUCUGCGGGGAAACGGAGCCGCAGAUCCGCCCGCUCCUUGUCGGGUUCGGUGUCGCUGCCCCUCCCGGCCCCCCUGGCUCCCCCUCGCAGGCUCUAUCGGCGCCUAUCGAUAGUCGGGGUCUGCCCGCAUUUCCCGAGCUAAGCCGGGGUUCCUCUCUUUAAUCAAACAGCUCCAG